ACGUCCGUAGCCGGUUUGGUACAUUCGUGGGUAAAUCAACUCGCUCAACGAGUUGAAUUCUGCGAGGACGGCCAGACUUGGGACCGGGAGAGGUGUGGGGUACUCUCAGGGUAGGGGUAAAAUCCUGUCAUCCUGAGAGGACCACCUGUUGCGAAGGCGCCACACUAGAACGGAUCCGACGGUCAGGGACGAAGCCUAGGGGCACGAACCGGAUUAGAUACCCGGGUAGUCCUAGGUGUAAACGCUGUGGACUUGAUGUUGGAGAAGCUCCGAGCUUCUUCAGUGUCGAAGCGAAGGUGAUAAGUCCACUGCCUGGGAAGUACGGUCGCAAGGCUGAAACUUAAAGGAAUUGGCGGGGGAGCACCGCAACCUGAGGAUUGUGCGGUUUAAUUGGAUUCAACGCCGGAAAACUCACCAUAGCCGACGGACAUAUGAAGGUCAGUGUAAUGAACUUACCGGAUUGUUCGAGAGGUAGUGCAUGGCCGCCGUCAGUUCGUACCGUAAGGCGUUCUGUUAAGUCAGAUAACGAACGAGACCCUCAUCUCUAUUUGCCACCAGAUCUCUGGAUCUGAAGGGACUAUAGAGAGACCGCUAGCGCGAAGUUAGAGGAAGGGGAGGGCAACGGUAGGUCAGUAUGCUCCGAAUGCUAUGGGCUACACGCGCAAUACAAAGGACGGGACAAUGGGCUGCUACUCCGAAAGGAAUGACGCUAUCCCGAAACCCGUUCGUAGUUCGGAUUGAGGGCUGUAACUCGCCCUCAUGAAGCUGGAUUAGGUAGUAAUCGCGUCUCAAUAAGGCGCGGUGAAUAUGCCCCUGCUCCUUGCACACACCGCCCGUCAAACCAUCUUAGUUGUGGGUGGGUGAGGCUACCU
Molecule: ribosomal RNA, 872 nt
Filed under: marine metagenome
Description: bacterial SSU rRNA
Rfam family: Archaeal small subunit ribosomal RNA
Source: RNAcentral